This is a non-coding RNA of Physcomitrium patens, 1713 nucleotides long. The record is from RefSeq and is a predicted model, not a curated record. NCBI's taxonomy places the organism in Eukaryota, Viridiplantae, Streptophyta, Bryopsida, Funariales, Funariaceae.
CCCGGCCGCAUUCCUCCGCCUCUCUCCUUUUGUUUUUGUUUUGUGAUCCAGUGAAAGAGCUCCAAGAAUUUCGAUCUGUCUCCUUCACCGGCGUGUGUGGUUACGAGUGUUCUUCUUUGUCCCGUGGAAGUGCUGUGGUGCAGCAUCUUCUUCUUUUGUUCGGUGAUCUGCGUGGAGCCUGGGAAUUGGAAGAUCUGGUUUUUUUUCCUGGUGUUUUCUUCUGGAGAUCCAAUUGUGAGGAGUUGCAGCAACUCGGUUUGGAGAAGUAUUGCUGCUGAGAUCCAAGAUUGCUGUUGUUUUUGUUUUUCCUUCUGUGCGGAAAAAGUCAAAGGGAAAGCUGCGGUAGAGGUUCUUCAUUUUCUGCUUGUUCUCUUCGAUUCGACGUAAGGAAAGGCGCAUGCGGCACUGAUCUAGUAAUUCCCGCUGUUUUUUCUUGUGUUUUCCUGUUAAAUGCGGUUGCAUUGCCAGUAGAGACGACUGCGACACUGUAGCAGUUUGUGCCAAGUGGUGGAUUGUAGUUUUGCGGUAUUGUGUAGUGCGGCGGUGCCUCUGCACUAAUCUUGUUCUUUGGAAGUAGCUCUUAGCUGAGGAGAAUCGCAGCAUAUGAUGGUGGUGUAGUAUUGAGAAGGUCGGCGCUUGCAUAUUGAGUUGGUCGUCGACAUCCUACCAAAAAAUCUUGUAAUGUGGCGAAAUCUUUACUUGCAAGUCGAGCUGCAGCUUGGUCGAGGUGCUCUCUUUCCCGUGGUGCUGGCCAAGGUUUGUUCCGGAGUUUGGACAAGAAUGCUAAGCUAGGUUGUAGAGGAUGGUGUUGGAAGUUAAAGUUCUUGACUGUGAAUUGGCUUGCGUGUAAUCGGAGGGCAGAUGCAGCCACUACGUUGAUCAAGGUUGGAGGUCUGAUGCGGGGCUAGCUGCUUCAUCAUAAACUACUGUAGCUGCUGCGCUGACGCCCACGGUCUUGGAUGCAAAAUUUCAUCACUUGCUGCAAGCUGAAAAACCACCGUAGUGCUGCAGCAGGGUCAAAGUCAUUCGUGUCAAUUCCAUAGGAUUGAUUUGGUACUCAAAGUUGUAUAGCAGUCGAAGCAGCGAAGGCGAUUACUUCGUCUCCAACAUUGCUUUUUAGUUACUCUUCAUCCUGUGCUUCUGCAAUCAGGAGCCCCCUUACUGUAUCAAUCUGUCAGUCUGGAGCAUAUUGUGCAUGCCCAAAGAUUAGAUUUAGUUGAUAAGUUACAUGCUAGAUCAUAGAAACUCUUUAGAUUGUUAGGAAGAUCAUAGUGUCGACUUGUUGGAUGCACGAGGUUGGAGAUGCUCAAGGAAUACAGCACUUUUUAAGUGUAUCUCUUGGUGGAGCAAAGAUUGGAGAAAAAUCAUGCAUGGUUGAUGGGCAAGGAAUACAAGUAAGACAAUCCAGUGAGCAGCAUAUGUAGGGUGGAGAUGUAAUUUAUUAUUAUAAGUGUGAGUUGGUAGUAGAGAUUUUGUUUGACUACUAAGGUGAUUUAAGGAGUUUUAAGAGUAGAUUAAAUUGGAUUGAACAAGAGCUAUAAAUUCUAGAAUUUACAUAGUUAAUUCACUUGUUGUGAAUUAGAAUAAACUUCCAACUAGUGGAGGUUUAUUUUAGCUUACAAUGGUUCAAUGAUGUGAAUAUCAUGCAACAUGUACAUAGAGUGUUGUGUUGCACAUGAAUAAAAGAUAAGGUGAUCAUUGCAAACUUUUUCA